Molecule: ribosomal RNA, 279 nt
Filed under: Triticum aestivum (bread wheat)
Lineage: Eukaryota; Viridiplantae; Streptophyta; Magnoliopsida; Poales; Poaceae
Description: partial small subunit ribosomal RNA
Source: RNAcentral
AUGGCCAUUAUCAAGCUCUUCGGUGAAGCCACGUGACUUAAGAUAAACCCAGCAAAAUCAUAUGUUGCCACGAUUCGUUGUAAGGGCUUAGACCUGCAGGACGUGCUCCAUGGUUUCAGAGGUAGAAUCGUAGGCUUCCCUAUGACUUAUCUAGGCCUGCCGAUCACCAUCUCUUUGCCGCUGGUUCAUCUUCAGUUCAUCCUCGACCGUAUCCGUGCGCGCCUAGCAGGCUGGAGGGGUCACCUGUUGUCCACAACCAGCAGAUUAGUGCUCGUCUAG